GAGACACCCAUAUGGAGCAGAACUUGCUUCAGUGGGGCUUUGGUGCUCACUGAGUCUACCCCUUGAGUGUGUUGCU
Molecule: non-coding RNA, 76 nt
Organism: Myotis davidii
Lineage: Eukaryota; Metazoa; Chordata; Mammalia; Chiroptera; Vespertilionidae
Source: Rfam